CAGUAGCCGCGGGAAUACGAAGGGUGCAAGCGUUACUCGGAAUUACUGGUUUAAAGGGUGCGUAGGCGGCCGAUUAAGUCUGGGGUGAAAGCCCGCUGCUCAACAGCGGAACUGCCCUGGAUACUGGUUGGCUUGAGUACAGACGAGGUUGGCGGAAUGGACAGAGUAGCGGUGAAAUGCAUAGAUACUGUCCAGAACCCCGAUUGCGAAGGCAGCUGACUAGGCUGCUACUGACGCUGAGGCACGAAAGCGUGGGGAGCGAACAGGAUUAGAUACCCGUGUAGUCCCUGUCUCUUAUACA
This 301-nucleotide ribosomal RNA is filed under the name uncultured bacterium. Its description in RNAcentral is "partial 16S ribosomal RNA". It matches the Rfam family "Bacterial small subunit ribosomal RNA", at positions 509 to 808 of the family's 1533-position model. The record is from RNAcentral.